This is a long non-coding RNA of Bradysia coprophila, 206 nucleotides long. Lineage: Eukaryota; Metazoa; Arthropoda; Insecta; Diptera; Sciaridae. The record is from RefSeq and is a predicted model, not a curated record.
UAAUUCACGACGUAAGUGCGGUCGAAAUUCAAAGUGGAAAGUGCGGAGGUCUUUCUAACGUAACGUCAUCUUCAUACAAGGAAGUGUUGAAAUGUACUUUUCUGUUCACUUUUUCAUCGAAUCGUUCACUUAAAAUUCAAAUUUUAGGCACACUUACGGCGUGAAUUACGUCAUAAAAAGCUUUCUAAAAUCACAAGAAAAUUCUU